CGGGAGCCAAAGAAGUUUAUUUACUCCAAGGGGUGACAGGAAGGCAGAGCGCUCAAGAGGAGAGACCCAGACAUAUCAACCAGGGGCUUCCCUGAAAUUUGGAAUUUCUUUUCCAA
This 116-nucleotide non-coding RNA is filed under the name Pongo abelii (Sumatran orangutan). Lineage: Eukaryota; Metazoa; Chordata; Mammalia; Primates; Hominidae. The record is from RNAcentral.